GAUGAACGCUGGCGGCGUGCCUAAUACAUGCAAGUCGAGCGAACAGACGAGGAGCUUGCUCCUCUGACGUUAGCGGCGGACGGGUGAGUAACACGUGGAUAACCUACCUAUAAGACUGGGAUAACUUCGGGAAACCGGAGCUAAUACCGGAUAAUAUAUUGAACCGCAUGGUUCAAUAGUGAAAGACGGUUUUGCUGUCACUUAUAGAUGGAUCCGCGCCGCAUUAGCUAGUUGGUAAGGUAACGGCUUACCAAGGCAACGAUGCGUAGCCGACCUGAGAGGGUGAUCGGCCACACUGGAACUGAGACACGGUCCAGACUCCGACGGGAGGCAGCAGUAGGGAAUCUUCCGCAAUGGGCGAAAGCCUGACGGAGCAACGCCGCGUGAGUGAUGAAGGUCUGCGGAUCGUAAAACGCUGUUAUUAGGGAAGAACAAAUGUGUAAGUAACGAUGCACGUCUUGACGGUACCUAAGCAGAAAGCCACGGCUAACUACGU
RNAcentral lists this ribosomal RNA (496 nucleotides) under uncultured bacterium. Its description in RNAcentral is "partial 16S ribosomal RNA". It matches the Rfam family "Bacterial small subunit ribosomal RNA", at positions 28 to 506 of the family's 1533-position model. The record is from RNAcentral.